Molecule: non-coding RNA, 135 nt
Organism: Caenorhabditis elegans
Lineage: Eukaryota; Metazoa; Nematoda; Chromadorea; Rhabditida; Rhabditidae
Source: Ensembl
UUCCGCCAAAAGAUACGCCGCCAUGAAGGAAAGUGAUUUAGAAUAGUUUUUUGCGGUCAGUUUACCUUGAAAGAAAAAACUGUUGGAAUGUGGGUAUCGAGAUGUAGGUGAAACUUUAAUUCAAUGUGGGUGAAA